RNAcentral lists this ribosomal RNA (422 nucleotides) under uncultured bacterium. Its description in RNAcentral is "bacterial SSU rRNA". It matches the Rfam family "Bacterial small subunit ribosomal RNA", at positions 355 to 774 of the family's 1533-position model. The record is from RNAcentral.
UAAGGAAUAUUGGACAAUGGAGGCAACUCUGAUCCAGCCAUGCCGCGUGAAGGAAUAAGGCCCUAUGGGUUGUAAACUUCUUUUAGACGGGACAAAACCCCUUUACGUGUAAAGGGUUGAUGGUACUGUCAGAAUAAGCAUCGGCUAACUUCGUGCCAGCAGCCGCGGUAAUACGAAGGAUGCAAGCGUUAUCCGGAAUUAUUGGGUUUAAAGGGUGCGUAGGCGGACUAAUAAGUCAGUGGUGAAAGCCUGCAGCUUAACUGCAGAAUUGCCAUUGUUACUGUUAGUCUUGAGUACAGUUGGGGUAGGCGGAAUGUGUCAUGUAGCGGUGAAAUGCUUAGAUAUGACACAGAACACCGAUUGCGAAGGCAGCUUGCUAAGCUGUAACUGACGCUGAGGCACGAAAGCGUGGGGAGCAAACA